UUAUUUGAAACAGGAUACAACCUCACACACCGGGUAAACAAAAGGAUAACAAAACCAAGUGGGCCUAAAAGCAGCCACCUUUAAGAAAGCGUUACAGCUUCACCACACCCAACCCAAAAUCAUUUCAACACCUACUAACCCUUAACCCCCACUGAACCAUUUUAUACUACUAUAAAAACUAUUAUGCUAGGACUAGUAACAAGAAUUUGCUUUUCUCCUUAAUAUAAACAUAAGCCAAAACGGACCAUCCAUUGGCAAUUAACGCUAAUGAACUAACUAUAAUAACAACCCUACUAGAAAACCCUAUAUUCUAUAACGUUAAUCUCACACCAGAAUAUUAAAGGAAAGAUUAAAAGAAAAAGAAGGAACUCGGCAAACUUCAACCCCGCCUGUUUACCAAAAACAUCGCCUCUUGAUAAACAUAAGAGGUCCAGCCUGCCCAGUGACAAUGUUCAACGGCCGCGGUACCCUAACCGUGCAAAGGUAGCAUAAUCACUUGUUCUUUAAAUGAGGACUUGUAUCAAUGGCAUCACGAGGGUUGUACUGUCUCCUUUUUCCAAUCAGUGAAACUGAUCUCCCCGUGAAGAAGCUGGGAUUUUUAU
Molecule: ribosomal RNA, 602 nt
Filed under: Chalcorana labialis
Lineage: Eukaryota; Metazoa; Chordata; Amphibia; Anura; Ranidae
Description: Hylarana labialis partial 16S ribosomal RNA
Rfam family: Archaeal large subunit ribosomal RNA (bases 347-594)
Source: RNAcentral